GAAGAAACAAAUUACCCAAAGGGAAAAGCAUUUAAAAGCAAAUGUCAAAAUAUGAUUUAGUUGGAUUCAAGGUAACACUGCAGCUAUAGAUAUUACACUCAAUUAGGCAGUGGUGGACGAAGAGCCAUUUAAUAAAUAACACUAGCCAACCAGCUCACAUCUGUACAAGCUCCUCCCCUUUGCUCGGCCAUCUUGCUGGUCUGUUAUUGGUUGUCUUCUUCUAUACAUGAGGUUUUACAAGGCAGAACGAGCCAGAUCAGAUGGCAAUUAUUAGCGAAAGCAGAAAGUUCUCAUCCUUCCUCGUGGUCAGGGGAAGCAUCACAUUCCGCCGACGUAGUCUCAACCUCCGGCUCAAGUGAAGGCAAAUGGGGACCAUGAAUGAAGUAAUGAGAAGAGGGCCAACCACGGACGGUAGUGGUAGACAAGGAUUGUUCGGGAGAGAGAGGGUUAGCUAAGUUGUGAAGAACGUUGGCAAUUGGAGGUAAAUGGGAAGUAGAAGGCAGAGGAACCCAAUACGAAGCGCCUGGAACGAAGGGGAGCCAAUCGGGGGCAGAUCGGCGAACGAGGAUCCGUUGAAUAGCGUCCUCAAGGUUCCGAAGAAGGGGAUCGGAGGAAGGAGAUUCAGAGAGAUCGGUGAGAUCGUUGUUAUCGGAAGGGGAGGAGAAAGCACGGCGGAAGAGGGAGUGAAAGGGAAAUAGAGAACGAGAACGAGGACGGAGGAGAUUUAGGGUUAGGGUUAGAGCUUGGGAUUUGGAUAGAGAAGAGAGAGACAUAAGGAUUUAGCAGACAAAUGGAAGAAGGGAGAAACGGAUAGAGAGACCGGCAG
This 826-nucleotide unclassified non-coding RNA is filed under the name Hevea brasiliensis (rubber tree). Lineage: Eukaryota; Viridiplantae; Streptophyta; Magnoliopsida; Malpighiales; Euphorbiaceae. The record is from RNAcentral.